RNAcentral lists this transfer RNA (83 nucleotides) under Deltaproteobacteria bacterium CG_4_10_14_0_2_um_filter_43_8. Its description in RNAcentral is "tRNA-Tyr". It matches the Rfam family "tRNA". From Rfam's summary of the family: Transfer RNA (tRNA) molecules are approximately 80 nucleotides in length. Their secondary structure includes four short double-helical elements and three loops (D, anti-codon, and T loops). RNAcentral also lists the same sequence under 2 other names. Lineage: Bacteria; Deltaproteobacteria. The record is from RNAcentral.
GGAGGGAUGCCCGAGCGGCCAAUGGGAACAGACUGUAAAUCUGUCGGCAAUAGCCUACGAUGGUUCGAAUCCAUCUCCCUCCA